AACGAACGCUGGCGGCAGGCUUAACACAUGCAAGUCGAACGCCCCGCAAGGGGAGUGGCAGACGGGUGAGUAACACGUGGGAACGUGCCCUAAGGUUCGGAAUAUUCUCGGGAAACUGAGAGCAAUACCGAAUGUGUCCGAGAGGAGAAAGAUUUAUCGCCUUAGGAUCGGCCCGCGUUGGAUUAGCUAGUUGGUGGGGUAAAAGCCUACCAAGGCGACGAUCCAUAGCUGGUCUGAGAGGACGACCAGCCACACUGGGACUGAGACACGGCCCAGACUCCUACGGGAGGCAGCAGUGGGGAAUCUUGGACAAUGGGCGCAAGCCUGAUCCAGCCAUGCCGCGUGAGUGAUGAAGGCCCUAGGGUUGUAAAACUCUUUCGCCGAGGACGAUAAUGACGGUACUCGGAGAAGAAGCUCCGGCUAACUUCGUGCCAGCCGCCGCCGUAA
RNAcentral lists this ribosomal RNA (447 nucleotides) under uncultured bacterium. RNAcentral's name for it is "partial 16S ribosomal RNA". It matches the Rfam family "Bacterial small subunit ribosomal RNA", at positions 29 to 523 of the family's 1533-position model. The record is from RNAcentral.